AGCGUUAUCCGGAUUUAUUGGGUUUAAAGGGUCCGUAGGCGGACCGAUAAGUCAGUGGUGAAAUCUCAUAGCUUAACUAUGAAACUGCCGUUGAUACUGUCGGUCUUGAGUAAAUUUGAAGUGGCUGGAAUAAGUAGUGUAGCGGUGAAAUGCAUAGAUAUUACUUAGAACACCAAUUGCGAAGGCAGGUCACUAAGAUUUAACUGACGCUGAGGGACGAAAGCGUGGGGAGCGAACAGGAUUAGAUACCCUGGUAGUCCACGCCGUAAACGAUGCUAACUCGUUUUUGGGGCGCAAGCUUCAGAGACCAAGCGAAAGUGAUAAGUUAGCCACCUGGGGAGUACGUCCGCAAGGAUGAAACUCAAAGGAA
RNAcentral lists this ribosomal RNA (370 nucleotides) under uncultured Flavobacteriaceae bacterium. Its description in RNAcentral is "bacterial SSU rRNA". It matches the Rfam family "Bacterial small subunit ribosomal RNA", at positions 537 to 909 of the family's 1533-position model. Lineage: Bacteria; Pseudomonadati; Bacteroidota; Flavobacteriia; Flavobacteriales; Flavobacteriaceae. The record is from RNAcentral.